UGCGUAUGAGCCACAAGUACUUAUAAUACUUCCAAUUCGGUUAGAACAUAAUUUAUAUUUACGAAGUUGUGAAGAGUUGAAAACGACAAGUGAGCGUGUUUAAGGAAGGAGCAUAAUUUUGAAGAGCGCUUGUUUGCCAAGAGAAAGAUACAGAACAUUUUGAACCCGAACCAAAAUUAGAACGGAGAGUUGUUCAAGUUGAGCCAAAUAUCAAACAGCUGGAGCUGGUGGUGAAUGAAUUAUACAAUGGUUGUUUUAAAAUUGGUCCUCAAUCCAGGCUGUCGAAAUUUGCUUGCAGAUUCACCGGAGGUCCUUACAUCGC
Long non-coding RNA from Bactrocera dorsalis (oriental fruit fly), 322 nucleotides. RefSeq lists it as uncharacterized. The transcript has 2 exons. Lineage: Eukaryota; Metazoa; Arthropoda; Insecta; Diptera; Tephritidae. The record is from RefSeq and is a predicted model, not a curated record.